Dromaius novaehollandiae (emu) is the source of this 628-nucleotide long non-coding RNA. RefSeq lists it as uncharacterized. The transcript is spliced from 3 exons. The record is from RefSeq and is a predicted model, not a curated record. NCBI's taxonomy places the organism in Eukaryota, Metazoa, Chordata, Aves, Casuariiformes, Dromaiidae.
CGGCGGCGGCGGCGGCGCCCGCACCCGGUCCCUGGCGGCGCGGGGCGGCGCGGCGCGGCGGGGCCGGCGCUGCUGCAGCGACGCCGAGCCGCAGACCCUCCCCUCGCUCCCGGACGGCACCCACUGUUUGCCAGUCACCAGUUAAUUUCUGCAGGCACUGAGCUCUGGGAGGCGGAAUGCUUAAAGGAGCAGUAUCAUUCCACUCUUCGUGUAAUAAAACACAACACAACCCUUUCCAAAUAGCUGUGGAGGAAAGAAAAAGACAUAAACAUUGAACUGAUAUACCAGAGGACCAAAGCUGACUUUUUAAUUCAUUGUUGAAAUUUCAAAAGUGACUAUAUUUUUCUCCUUUUUAAAAAAUAUUGUAUCAGCAGCAAGAGUCACCUCAAACAAAACAAAAGGAUGUACAGGUGUUACACACAGAUGUGUGGGAUUGUUGUGACAGUAGCCUCUAACUUUCCAGCAAAGACCGAGUACUCGUCCUUCCAGAUGGCAGCAAGACUAUCCUUAUGGCUGCGGGCAUGAUAAAUGCUCUCAGCAAUGUCCAAUAAAUCAUGCAAUCAGAGUCCAAAAUGACACCACAAUUUAUUGCAACUCUUAACAUUAAACUUUGUAAUGACUGUUUUAA